Molecule: transfer RNA, 20 nt
Filed under: Saponaria sicula subsp. sicula
Lineage: Eukaryota; Viridiplantae; Streptophyta; Magnoliopsida; Caryophyllales; Caryophyllaceae
Description: partial tRNA-Lys
Source: RNAcentral
AGUAGAUACUGGGCUUUUAA